UACGUAGGGUGCAAACGUUGUUCGGAAUCACUGGGCAUAAAGAGCGCGUAGGCGGUUCUGUAAGUCAAGUGUGAAAGACCCCAGCCCAACUGAGGAAUUGCACUUGAUACUGCUGGGCUUGAGUGCAGGAGGGGAGAGCGGAAUUCCUGGUGGAGCGGUGAAAUGCGUAGAUAUCAGGAGGAACGCCAGCGGCGAAAGCGGCUCUCUGGUCUGCAACUGACGCUGAGGCGCGAAAGCUAGGGGAGCAAACGGG
RNAcentral lists this ribosomal RNA (253 nucleotides) under uncultured bacterium. RNAcentral's name for it is "partial 16S ribosomal RNA". It matches the Rfam family "Bacterial small subunit ribosomal RNA", at positions 524 to 776 of the family's 1533-position model. The record is from RNAcentral.